CCUACGGGUGACAGCAGUGAGGAAUAUUGGUCAAUGGGCGGAAGCCUGAACCAGCCAAGUCGCGUGAGGGAAUAAGGCCCUACGGGUCGUAAACCUCUUUUGCCGGGGAGCAAGGGCCGGGACGAGUCCCGGUCCGGAGAGUACCCGUAGAAAAAGCAUCGGCUAACUCCGUGCCAGCAGCGGCGGUAAUACGGAGGAUGCGAGCGUUAUCCGAAUUUAUUGGGUUUAAGGGGUGCGUAGGCGGGCUUUUAAGUCAGCGGUAAAGAUUCGGGGCUAAACCCAGUCUGGCCGUUGAAACUGGGAGCCUUGAGUAGACGAGAAGAAGGCGGAAUGCGUGGUGUAGCGGUGAAAUGCAUAGAUAUCACGCAGAACCCCGAUUGCGAAGGCAGCCUUCCGGAGCCCUACUGACGCUGAGGCACGAAAGUGCGGGGAUCGAACAGGAUUAGAUACCCGUGUAGUC
This 460-nucleotide ribosomal RNA is filed under the name uncultured bacterium. RNAcentral describes it as "partial 16S ribosomal RNA". It matches the Rfam family "Bacterial small subunit ribosomal RNA", at positions 338 to 795 of the family's 1533-position model. The record is from RNAcentral.